UAAAAUUAGUAAUAGUUAUGUUCUUGAAAUUUAAAAAAUUUGGCGGUAUUUUAAAUUUUUAGAGGAACCUGUCCUAUAAUUGAUAAUCCACGAUUAAAUGUACUUAUUUUAUGUUUAUAUAUCGUUGUAGAUAAAUAUUUUAUAAGAAUUGGAAUAUUUGUAAUAUAAUAGAUUAUAGGGAUUCAAAUCAAGAUGUAGCUAUAAAUAAGAAGAGAUGGGUUACAAUUAUUUUAAUAUUGGAAUAAUUAUUUUAAAUUGUUAUGAAAGAGGAUUUAAUAGUAAUUUAGAAUAUAAUUUUUGGAUGAAUAGAUCUAUAAAAUGUGUACAUAUUGCCCGUCACUCCUAAUUAAA
RNAcentral lists this ribosomal RNA (351 nucleotides) under Heliscus tropicus. RNAcentral's name for it is "partial 12S ribosomal RNA". The record is from RNAcentral. Lineage: Eukaryota; Metazoa; Arthropoda; Insecta; Coleoptera; Passalidae.